ACGAACGCUGGCGGCGUGCUUAACACAUGCAAGUCGAACGGAAAGGCCCUGCUUUUGUGGGGUGCUCGAGUGGCGAACGGGUGAGUAACACGUGAGUAACCUGCCCUUGACUUUGGGAUCACUUCAGGAAACUGGGGCUAAUACCGGAUAGGAGCUCCUGCUGCAUGGUGGGGGUUGGAAAGUUUCGGCGGUUGGGGAUGGACUCGCGGCUUAUCCGCUUGUUGGUGGGGGAGUGGCUUACCAAGGCUUUGACGGGUAGCCGGCCUGAGAGGGUGACCGGCCACAUUGGGACUGAGAUACGGCCCAGACUCCUCCGGGAGGCAGCAGUGGGGAAUAUUGCACAAUGGGCGGAAGCCUGAUGCAGCAACGCCGCGUGCGGGAUGACGGCCUUCGGGUUGUAAACCGCUUUCGCCUGUGACGAAGCGUGAGUGACGGUAAUGGGUAAAGAAGCACCGGCUAACUACGUG
RNAcentral lists this ribosomal RNA (467 nucleotides) under uncultured bacterium. Its description in RNAcentral is "partial 16S ribosomal RNA". It matches the Rfam family "Bacterial small subunit ribosomal RNA", at positions 29 to 507 of the family's 1533-position model. The record is from RNAcentral.